This 253-nucleotide ribosomal RNA is filed under the name uncultured bacterium. RNAcentral's name for it is "partial 16S ribosomal RNA". It matches the Rfam family "Bacterial small subunit ribosomal RNA", at positions 524 to 776 of the family's 1533-position model. The record is from RNAcentral.
UACGGAGGAUUCGGGCGUUAUCCGGAUUUAUUGGGUUUAAAGGGAGCGUAGGCGGGUUGUUAAGUCAGUUGUGAAAGUUUGCGGCUCAACCGUAAAAUUGCAGUUGAUACUGGCAUCCUUGAGUACAGUAGAGGUAGGCGGAAUUCGUGGUGUAGCGGUGAAAUGCUUAGAUAUCACGAAGAACUCCGAUUGCGAAGGCAGCCUGCUGGACUGUAACUGACGCUGAUGCUCGAAAGUGUGGGUAUCAAACAGG